UUCCGGUUGAUCCUGCCGGACCUGACUGCUAUCGGAUUGAUACUAAGCCAUGCAAGUCUUUGUAGUAAUACAAGGCAUACGGCUCAGUAACGCGUAGUCAACCUACCCUAUGGAUGGGAAUAAUCUCGGGAAACUGAGCAUAAUACCCAACAGAUCAUCAAUUCUGGAAUGGUUGAUGAUUCAAAUGAUUUUUCGCCAUAGGAUGGGACUGCGGCCUAUCAGCUUGUUGGUGAGGUAAUGGCCCACCAAGGCGAUUACAGGUACGGGCUCUGAGAGGAGAAGCCCGGAGAUGGGUACUGAGACAAGGACCCAGGCCCUAUGGGGCGCAGCAGGCGAGAAAACUUUGCAAUGUGCGAAAGCACGACAAGGUUAAUCCGAGUGAUUUCUGCUAAAGGAAUCUUUUACCAGUUCUAAAAAUACCGGCGAAUAAGGGGUGGGCAAGUUCUGGUGUCAGCCGCCGCGGUAAAACCAGCACCUCAAGUGGUCAGGAGGAUUAUUGGGCCUAAAGCAUCCGUAGCCGGCUCUGUAAGUUUUCGGUUAAAUCUAUACGCUCAACAUAUGGGCUGCCGAAAAUACUGCACAGCUAGGGAAUGGGAGAGGUAGACGGUACUCGGUAGGAAGGGGUAAAAUCCUUUGAUCUAUCGAUGACCACCUGUGGCGAAGGCGGUCUACCAGAACACGUUCGACGGUGAGGGAUGAAAGCUGGGGGAGCAAACCGGAUUAGAUACCCGGGUAGUCCCAGCUGUAAACGAUGCAGACUCGAUGAUGCAUUGGCAUAUAGCCAGUGCAGUGUCGCAGGAAGCCGUUAAGUCUGCCGCCUGGGAAGUACGUACGCAAGUAUGAAACUUAAAGGAAUUGGCGGGGGAGCACCACAAGGGGUGAAGCCUGCGGUUCAAUUGGAGUCAACGCCGGA
Molecule: ribosomal RNA, 913 nt
Filed under: uncultured archaeon
Lineage: Archaea
Description: bacterial SSU rRNA
Rfam family: Archaeal small subunit ribosomal RNA
Source: RNAcentral